Molecule: transfer RNA, 82 nt
Organism: Synechococcus sp. PCC 7335
Lineage: Bacteria; Bacillati; Cyanobacteriota; Cyanophyceae; Synechococcales; Synechococcaceae
Rfam family: tRNA
About the family: Transfer RNA (tRNA) molecules are approximately 80 nucleotides in length.
Source: Rfam
GGGCAAGUGGCGGAAUUGGUAGACGCACCACACUCAAAAUGUGGCGACUUCGGUUGUGAGAGUUCGAGUCUCUCCUUGCCCA